Molecule: ribosomal RNA, 1210 nt
Filed under: Paraphysomonas imperforata
Lineage: Eukaryota; Chrysophyceae; Chromulinales; Paraphysomonadaceae
Description: partial Bacterial large subunit ribosomal RNA
Rfam family: Bacterial large subunit ribosomal RNA
Source: RNAcentral
UACAUCUGUUUGAAUAUAGGGGAACCUUCCUCUAAGCCUUAAUAUAAUAUACAAGUAAUAGAGAACAGUACUGUGAAGGAAAUUUUGGAAGUAGUAGUCUUAUAAGCAGCUCGAGAUAAGUUUAAUAAACGUAUAAGAGCGUACCUUUUGUAUAAUGGGUCAGCAAGUUCUAGUUAGAUGCAAGCAAAUAAUCAGUGUAUAAAAAAAAAAAGGGAUUUGCCUAGAUAAUCCAAUUAUUAAGUAAUGAAUAAGUAUCUAAUUAGAGACCCGAAGAGUAGUGAUCUUACCAUGGUCAGGCUUAUAAAAGGCCGAAUGGGUUAUCGUUGUAAAGAUAUCCAAAGAACUGUGGUAAGUUAGUGAAAGACAAUCCUGACUACUAUAGCUGGUUUUCCGCGAAACAUAUGUAAGUAUGUAGUUUAAAUUACAUCAUAGCAGGUACAGAACUGUAAUCUCGGACAAUUUGUGCAUUUUCAUUACUAGGGGGUAACACCUAGAGAAUGUAAUGCCUUGUGCAUAUGGGGGGGUCGUGAAGACUCUAUUCGCGAGUAUUUGCUCUCGGAAGGGCAAUGAUGAAUGUUGAACUAUCAGACAUUUAACGAUAAGGUUGGGUGUCAAAAGGGAAACAGCCCAGAACAAGUGUUUAAGGUUCCAAAGUUUUUGUUAAGUGAAAGUAAGGAAGUAUUUAAACCAUACAACCAGGAAAUAGGCUUAGAAGCGGCCAUUUUUUAAAGACCUCGUAACAGAGCACUGGUUCAAAAGGUUAGUAAAAUAACCUAUUCAGUUAAAAGCGCCGAAGAUAUAACGGAUCUAAACAAAACACCGACACCUUGUCCAUAAAAAGACUAGGUUACCUUUGCUGUAGGAAGUUUCGCUGUAUUUACAAAACCCGCAAGGGAGUGGUAUGGGUAAUGAUUAUAAGCAAAAGGUAAUCCUAUGUUAUAUACGUAAACACUAGUUGCGUAUUAUUUAUGGGGUAGCGGAACAUUGGGUAAAUAGGACUAGAAACAAAGGAAAUAUAAAAGUAUUGUACUAAGCAAAAAGCACUACUAUUAGUAAAUAAUAGCGAGGAGUUGAUGUACAUAAGUUUAAAGAUAACUACAACGUAGUUUGAGCGCUAAAUAGCGCUAGUCCAGUAUAUCCCAAGCGAGAAUGCUGACACGAGUAACGAAAAAGAGGAGGCCAAUAGGCAACUCUCGCCUUAAGCUUAUGG